Molecule: long non-coding RNA, 311 nt
Organism: Onychostoma macrolepis
Lineage: Eukaryota; Metazoa; Chordata; Actinopteri; Cypriniformes; Cyprinidae
Exons: 3
Source: RefSeq, a predicted model, not a curated record
CUGUGGACUCUCGUUCUGACGGCACCCAUUCACUGCAGAGGAUCCAUUGGUGAGCAAGUGAUGCAAAGCUAAAUUACUACCAUCUGUUCAAAUGAAGAACAAACUGUACAUCUUGGAUAGCCUGAGGGAUCCCCACAUGUGACCCCAGGCUGGCUUCCUCAGGAGAUCUGCAUAAACUUGUCAAAGCCAGGCUGUUUGAGGUAAGCUCUACACCUAGACAAAAAGUGUGCGACCCACGUAUUGCUGCAUUGUUCCACCACCAUUUUGUCCCCAACCAACUGAACCUGGUCUCCCUGGGACUGCUGUUGAAU